AUGGUGCCAUCCGUCUCCAUCCGCCAGGAAAGGGGCAAGCCCCCGGCCGACGUAAGGGACCUCUUGUCUCGGCGUCGAAGGUGCAGCAGCGUUACGACACUUCAAGCCGGCCACGUCGCCCUAGCCCGCUUAGUCGAUCCUCUACUGUCAUCAAGCACAAGAACAAGAGCAAGGCUAUAUUGGCUUGUGGUACAAGUUCAAGCAACCAAGUAG
Molecule: ribosomal RNA, 213 nt
Filed under: Triticum aestivum (bread wheat)
Lineage: Eukaryota; Viridiplantae; Streptophyta; Magnoliopsida; Poales; Poaceae
Description: partial small subunit ribosomal RNA
Source: RNAcentral